UGGGGUAAUUUUCCGCAAUGGGCGAAAGCCUGACGGAGCAAUGCCGCGUGGAGGUGGAAGGCCUACGGGUCGUCAACUUCUUUUCUCGGAGAAGAAACAAUGACGGUAUCUGAGGAAUAAGCAUCGGCUAACUCUGUGCCAG
This 142-nucleotide ribosomal RNA is filed under the name uncultured bacterium. RNAcentral's name for it is "partial 16S rRNA". It matches the Rfam family "Bacterial small subunit ribosomal RNA", at positions 354 to 511 of the family's 1533-position model. The record is from RNAcentral.